This 387-nucleotide ribosomal RNA is filed under the name uncultured bacterium. RNAcentral describes it as "bacterial SSU rRNA". It matches the Rfam family "Bacterial small subunit ribosomal RNA", at positions 28 to 417 of the family's 1533-position model. The record is from RNAcentral.
GACGAACGCUGGCGGCGUGCUUAACACAUGCAAGUCGAGCGGUAAGGCCCUUCGGGGUACGACGAGCGGCGAACGGGUGAGUAACACGUGGGUGACCUGCCUCUAGCUCUGGGAUAAGCCUGGGAAACUGGGUCUAAUACCGGAUAUGACUCCACGGCGCAUGUUGUGGGGUGGAAAGCCUUGUGUGGCUAGAGAUGGGCCCGCGGCCUAUCAGCUUGUUGGUGGGGUGAGGCCUACCAAGGCGACGACGGGUAGCCGGCCUCGAGAGGGCGACCGGCCACACUGGGACUGAGACACGGCCCAGACUCCUACGGGAGGCAGCAGUGGGGAAUCUUGCGCAAUGGGCGAAAGCCUGACGCAGCGACGCCGCGUGAGGGAUGACGGCCU